CACAUGCAAGUCGAACGGAAAGGCCCCUUGCUUGCAGGGGUACUCGAGUGGCGAACGGGUGAGUAACACGUGGGUGAUCUGCCUUGCACUCUGGGAUAAGCUUGGGAAACUGGGUCUAAUACCGGAUAUGAACUGCCUUUAGUGUGGUGGUUGGAAAGUUUUUUCGGUGCAAGAUGAGCUCGCGGCCUAUCAGCUUGUUGGUGGGGUAAUGGCCUACCAAGGCGUCGACGGGUAGCCGGCCUGAGAGGGUGUACGGCCACAUUGGGACUGAGAUACGGCCCAGACUCCUACGGGAGGCAGCAGUGGGGAAUAUUGCACAAUGGGCGGAAGCCUGAUGCAGCGACGCCGCGUGGGGGAUGACGGCCUUCGGGUUGUAAACUCCUUUCGACAGGGACGAAGCUUUUUGUGACGGUACCUGUAUAAGAAGCACCGGCUAACUACGUGCCAGCAGCCGCGGUAAUACGUAGGGUGCGAGCGUUGUCCGGAAUUACUGGGCGUAAAGAGCUCGUAGGUGGUUUGUCGCGUCGUCUGUGAAAUUCCGGGGCUUAACUUCGGGCGUGCAGGCGAUACGGGCAUAACUUGAGUGCUGUAGGGGAGACUGGAAUUCCUGGUGUAGCGGUGAAAUGCGCAGAUAUCAGGAGGAACACCGAUGGCGAAGGCAGGUCUCUGGGCAGUUACUGACGCUGAGGAGCGAAAGCAUGGGUAGCAAACAGGAUUAGAUACCCUGGUAGUCCAUGCCGUAAACGGUGGGCGCUAGGUGUAGGGGGCUUCCACGUCUUCUGUG
RNAcentral lists this ribosomal RNA (784 nucleotides) under Corynebacterium aurimucosum. RNAcentral describes it as "bacterial SSU rRNA". It matches the Rfam family "Bacterial small subunit ribosomal RNA", at positions 52 to 845 of the family's 1533-position model. Lineage: Bacteria; Bacillati; Actinomycetota; Actinomycetes; Mycobacteriales; Corynebacteriaceae. The record is from RNAcentral.